Molecule: microRNA precursor, 65 nt
Filed under: Notamacropus eugenii (tammar wallaby)
Lineage: Eukaryota; Metazoa; Chordata; Mammalia; Diprotodontia; Macropodidae
Description: miRNA (ENSMEUG00000017805.1)
Source: RNAcentral
UGUAUGUAUGUGUGUAUGUACAUGCAUAUAUAUGUAUGUACACAUGUAUGUACGUAAAUAUAUGU